CGGAUAGGACACCGGCAGCUGACGAUGGCAGAGGGGCGGGCCGUGUGAGCUCGGUGUGGAGACAGGGAGGACCGGUUGGACCGGGACAUAGCUCCAGCUGUUAUACUUAACUCCCGUCCCGCCUGCCCCACACCGCCCGGCUCCAUGGAGACUGCACAGCGGGGGAGCUGGAAGCCUCUGCUUAUCCUCGGCCUGUGUGCCCUGCAGCUGCCCGGCCUGGUCCUGACCAUCCAGGAGGAUGACGGGACACACCGCAACCGGGAGCCGCCCCUGCCCCAGAGACCAGAGGAGGUGGCCCGGGCAGAGAAGAUAUCCAUGCAACCCCCUGCUGUCCAUGUUAGGAAUGUAGACUUCAGCUCCGCUGGUAACCUGGGGUUCAUCCAUGCCUUUGUAGCGGCCAUAUCUGUGAUCAUCGUGUCAGAGCUGGGAGAUAAGACCUUCUUUAUAGCUGCCAUAAUGGCGAUGCGCUAUAACCGCCUGACCGUCCUCGCUGGAGCAAUGCUUGCCUUAGGACUGAUGACGUGUUUAUCAGUGUUAUUCGGAUACGCUACCACAGUCAUCCCCAGGGUAUACACCUAUUAUGUAUCAACUGCUCUUUUUGCAAUAUUCGGCAUUCGCAUGUUACGGGAAGGGUUAAAGAUGAGUCCAGAUGAAGGUCAGGAGGAGUUAGAAGAAGUUCAAGCUGAGAUCAAAAGAAAAGAUGAAGAGCUUCAGAGGACAAAGCUUCUAAAUGGCCCUGGUGAUGUGGAGAGCGGCGCUGGACCGGCUAAUCCCAAGAAGAAAUGGAUGCAGUUCAUCUCCCCAAUUUUUGUACAAGCGUUCACUUUGACGUUCCUGGCAGAGUGGGGGGAUCGCUCACAGCUCACUACUAUUGUCUUGGCAGCUAGAGAGGACCCGUUUGGCGUUGCGGUUGGUGGUACAAUAGGGCAUUGUUUAUGCACUGGGUUAGCAGUCAUUGGUGGUAGAAUGAUAGCGCAGAAGAUUUCAGUCCGAACCGUGACCAUCAUCGGUGGAAUAGUUUUCCUUGCUUUUGCUUUCUCUGCUUUAUUUAUAAGUCCGGAUUCUGGUUUUUAGAGAUUUUAUUUUUCCUCAAAUUCAGAUCAUGGCAAGAGACUCCUUUUUUCUUUUUUUGUACUGUAGUUCUGUAUAUAAUGUACAAAGGUAGCAAUAAGGAGAUGUCCACUGUACAGAAUCACACCACGCAGUGACUAUUUUUAUGCUCGGUCUCUUAAGUAUUGACUGUGUAGUGACUCCUUUUUCUUUAUUUGUGAAUCCAGCCAUAUUUACAGAAGUAAGGUCAACACUACCCUUAGUAUUUUAACAUAGUUUCUCUUGUACGUUCUUAAAGAGGUACUCCGGUGGAAAACCUUUUUUUAUUUUUUUUUUUUAAUCAGCUGGUGCCAGAAAGUUAAACAGAUUUGUAAAUUACUUCUAUUAAAAAUUCUUAAUCCUUCCAGUACGUAUCAGCGGCUGUAUACUAGAGAGCAAAGUCUUUUUGGAUUUCUUUUCUGCUCUCUGCUGACACCUCUGUCCAUUUUAGGAACUGUCCAAAGCAGCAUAUGUUUGCUAUGAGGAUUUUCUCCUGCUCUGGACAGUUCCUGACAUGGACAGAGGUGUCAACAGAGAGCACAGUGGUUGUGACAGAAAAGAAAUCCAAAAAGAAAAGAAUUUCCUCUGUAGUAUACAGCUGCUAAUAAGUACUGGAAAUAUUAAGCAUUAUUAAUAAAAGUAAUUUACAAGUCUGUUUAACUUUCUGGCAGCAGUUGAUUUAAAAAAGAAAAAUACAUUUCCACCACAGUACCCCUUUAAGAUACAGGUAAAAGGUCUACACACUUCAAAGAAGGAGAAGCAGGUCUUGCCUAGUCCUUUGCUGUUUAGAUUUUGAGGUACCUGUGACCUUAAAAGAAAUAGUUAUAAUAUUUAAAGGUAUAGUUGUCCUUGUAAACAUUAGUUGUCACAUGUCCCCAAGCGUCUCCAUCACUAUUGUGCCAUGAGUGGGCACAGUACCCAGUAUAUAGAAAUUGUCAAUAUUUGACAUGCGGUCUGUUCAGACUGACUAACAGCGGAAAGUUUUGGUUCCCCGAAUGUGAAAUGUUUACAUUUCAACUCGACAAAUAUAUAUAUAUAAAAAAAAGAUUUCUUUUCCUAAGCUGGUUUAGUGUUCUUCAUCACUGUAUAGAAGUUCAAGAGCUGAAAUGGCUUUUAAUUUGAGGUUGAUAAAACAUUGGCGCUAUCUUGUAGAAACCGUCUCCCACUCAUUGCAUUGGCUGUGUGUGGACAGAGCUGGAAUACCGGUCCUAUCCAGUGGACAACAGCAGCACUGUGUUUGUUGGAUGGCAGCCAUGUUUUUGUAAUAUAAAGUGAAGAUCCUAUACCAGUGGUCCGCAGGUUGAAGACCACUGUGCUAUACCAUACCUUUUUUGUUUACUGUGUAUAAAAUGUAAUAUUCAGUGUUGAUAUAUACAUUAAUUAUUGCAGUG
Molecule: RNA transcript, 2480 nt
Organism: Hyla sarda
Lineage: Eukaryota; Metazoa; Chordata; Amphibia; Anura; Hylidae
Gene: TMEM165
Gene name: transmembrane protein 165
Exons: 7
Source: RefSeq, a predicted model, not a curated record